This 296-nucleotide long non-coding RNA is filed under the name Physcomitrium patens. RNAcentral's name for it is "long non-coding RNA (PPAT_LNC011043)". Lineage: Eukaryota; Viridiplantae; Streptophyta; Bryopsida; Funariales; Funariaceae. The record is from RNAcentral.
AUUUCCUUCUUUCUUCAUUGGUUCAAAUUUCUAGUCAAUAUUCCUGUGCAAUGUACUUGCGGCUCUUUCUUUCUUUCUGUUUAUUAGUUGUCAUUUUCUUGUUAGUGAAUUGUGUCAUGGGCUGGAUGAUUGGCAGAGUGGCAACAAUGUACACCUACAAACCUGAAGUAUCAUCUUCUGUUCAACAUCCCAAGACCAGUAUCUUAUAGUUAAAGACUUCCUAUUCCGUCCAUGAUUUUCUUCAGUGUGCAUGUUUUAGAGCCGGUUAUGAUUCCUUGCAGUCAGAGUAGACGGUC